This 21-nucleotide ribosomal RNA is filed under the name Aspergillus niger. Its description in RNAcentral is "partial 18S ribosomal RNA". The record is from RNAcentral. Lineage: Eukaryota; Fungi; Ascomycota; Eurotiomycetes; Eurotiales; Aspergillaceae.
GCGGAAGGAUCAUUACCUAGA